Long non-coding RNA from Salvelinus fontinalis (brook trout), 5857 nucleotides. RefSeq lists it as uncharacterized. The record is from RefSeq and is a predicted model, not a curated record. Lineage: Eukaryota; Metazoa; Chordata; Actinopteri; Salmoniformes; Salmonidae. The transcript has 4 exons.
UUCCCUCUCUCCUCUCCUUCCCUCUCUCCUCUCCUUCCCUCUCCCCUUCCACUUCUCCUUCCCUCACUCUGACCUCCCUAUAAUGUAGUAACAUAAUGAACAAGUGUUGAGAGGAAAGACCUAUUUUUUAAAGGGUGAGCGCUUUGAUGGCUACCAGUUUGCUAACAGGUGUGCAGCAGCAAGAAUGUUCAAUUAUGAGAGGAAUUUGGUAUGAGUUAUUAGUGUGUCAUACACGUCUGUGUGUGUACAAGUAUUAUUUUCUAGACUUGGGGAGUAUUCUUGCUGUGAAUCGGUCCUUGGCAGCUGUCUGCUGUCAUGUUACACCGGAACACACACACACACACCGCAUAGACUCUGAUAUGCCAGAUGAAGGUCCUGGGUGGUGAUAUGUGAACACACACCGGAUAGACUCUGAUAUGCCAGAUGAAGGUCCUGGGUGGUGAUAUGUGAACACACACACACCGGAUAGACUCUGAUAUGCCAGAUGAAGGUCCUGGGUGGUGAUAUGUGAAGGUUAUGGCCUUUCCCUCCUCUUUCUCAUAAAAGUCAGAUUAUCCAAGACUCACUCCACCAUCACUGCCCCAUCAGUCCCCCUUUCAUCUAAAGAGACACAUUUGGUAUCAUGAACACAAUGGUAACAUGAACACCAUGAUAACAUGAGCACCAUGAUAACAUGAACACCAUGGUAACUUUAACACUCUCUCUUCCAGAGGAAUAAAUCACACGUUGCCUCACUGCCCUAUCUAUGCCCUUCCCUGAACCAACGAAAACAGAGACAGCAGGGUGUAUCUCUCUUACGUACACACACACACACACACACACACACACACACACACACACACACACACACACACACACACACACACACCCCCCGCCUUCCCCUGUCCUGACCAUGCCCUGUACAGUUGAUCUCUGCUCUAGGCCUGCUGCAGACUGGUAGAGACUCUUUGAUGAACCACAUUCUGUAGCAGGAAGAAUCCCAAAUGGCACCCUAUUCCCUAUAUAGUGCACUACUUUAGACCAGAGCCCAUAGGGCUAUAUAGGAAAUAUGGUGCCAUUUGGGACGCACCCCUUUCUCUGUCCCACCGUUGGCUUGUGUUGUAGCACUGUGACAAGAUAGACCGAUGUGGAUGGGGGCGUGCUCUCUCUGCUCUCUCCUGAAGUCUACGAUCAGCUGCUGAGUUUUGUUGACUUUGAGGGAGAGGUUAUUCCCCUGGCACCACUAAAUGUGGUGGUUGACGCUUUCAGUUUUGUGUGGAUGCUGCCAUCUAUCCACAGUUGGAUAAACUCUAAUCAUCACAGUGGGAACAGCAUCAUCUAUGCACUUCCCUGAUGAACUCAGUCACUGAGUUAGUGAAUACGUCGAUACUAUUCUCAGAGGCAACUCGGAACAUAUCGCUGUCCACAUGACCAAAACAAUCUUGAAGAAUAGGUUCUGAUUGGUCAGACCAAUGUUAGACAUGCCUUAUCACGGGUACUUCCUGUUUAAGUGUCUGCCUAUAGGAGAGGAGGAACAGAAUGUAGGCAUGAUCUGAUUUGCCGAGGGCCUUGUAGCUGUCCCGGAAGGGGGAGCAGCAAUGGUCAGAGUUCUCAAUGAGUGAAUAGCGCAGGGGAUCUUGAUUAAACUUCCGUAAAUAAAUGCGGCCUCAGAAUAUGCGGUUUCCAGUUUACACAAAGUCUAGUGUAUUUUCUUGAAAGCCGUCGCAGUGUCUGCUUGAGGGGGAAAAUACACGGCCGUGACGAUGACCGAAGAGAAUUCUCUCAGGAGGUAAUGCGGCCGGCAUUUGAUGGAGAGAUAUUCCAAAUUGGGAGAACAAAAGGACUUGAUUUCCUGUACAUUACCUUAAUCACACCAUGAGUAGUUAAUCGUGAAACAUACACCUCCCCCUUUAUUUUUGGCGGAGAGUUCUUUCUUUCUGUCCGUGAUGUACGGAGAACCUCGCUGGCUGUAUGGACGGGGACAGUAUACCCGGAGAGAGCCAUGAUUCUGUGAAACAGAGUAAGUUAUAGUCCUUGAUGUCUUGAAUGAGAUCCGUCUACUUUAUUGUCCAGGGACUGAACAUUAGUGAGUAAUAUACUCGGAAGUGGUGGGUGGUAAUGAACGCUUGUAGGGAAUAAUACAAGAAACCUUCUGAGGAAAUAAUGUAAGAAAUACCACAAAAAAACAAUACUGCAAAGUUGGCUAGGAGCUAGGAACAUGUCUGUUGGUGCUAUCUUGAACUCCAGUGGAAAUGUUCCAUGUUCCCUCGGUGUGCACAUCACUGACAUCCUGAAAUGGUCCAGGUUCCCUCGGCGUGCACAUCACUGACAUCCUGAAAUGUUCCAGGUUCCCUCGGCGUGCACAUCACUGACAUCCUGAAAUGGUCCAGGUUCCCUCGGCGUGCACAUCACUGACAUCCUGAAAUGUUCCAGGUUCCCUCGGUGUGCACAUCACUGACAUCCUGAAAUGUUCCAGGUUCCCUCGGUGUGCACAUCACUGACAUCCUGAAAUGUUCCAGGUUCCCUCGGUGUGCACAUCACUGACAUCCUGAAAUGUUCCAGGUUCCCUCGGUGUGCACAUCACUGACAUCCUGAAAUGUUCCAGGUUCCCUCGGCGUGCACAUCACUUACAUCCUGAAAUGUUCCAUGUUCCCUCGGUGUGCACAUCACUGACAUCCUGAAAUGGUCCAUCCACACAGAUAGUGUGAUGAAGAAUGCGCAACAGUGAGGCUGAAGAAAUUCGGCUUGGCCCCUAAGACCCCCCCCUACGAACUUCUACAGAUGCACCAUUGAGAGCAUUCUAUCGGGCUGUAUCAUCAGAUGCACCAUUGAGAGCAUUCUGUCGGGCUGUAUCAUCAGAUGCACCAUUGAGAGCAUUCUAUCGGGCUGUAUCAUCAGAUGCACCAUUGAGAGCAUUCUGUCGGGCUGUAUCAUCAGAUGCACCAUUGAGAGCAUUCUGUCGGGCUGUAUCAUCAGAUGCACCAUUGAGAGCAUUCUGUCGGGCUGUAUCAUCGCCUGGUACGACAAUUGCACCGUCUGCAACCGCAGGGCUCUCCAGCGGGUGGUGUGGUCAACGCAUCACCGGGGGCACACUGCCUGCCCUCAAGGACAUCUACAGCAGGGUUUCCCAAACUUGGUCCUGGGGCAAAUUUUUGUUUUUGCCCUAGUGCUACACAGCUGAUUCAAAUAAUCAAAGCUUGAUGACGAGAUGGUUAUUUGAAUCAGCUGUGUAGUGGUAGGGCAAAAACUAAAACAUGCACUUAGGGGGAGGUGUGGGGACAUAGUUUGGGACCCCAUGGUCUACAGCAUCCGGUGGCACAGCAAGGCCAAGAAGAUCAUCAAGGAUCUCAGCCACACGAGCCACAACCUGUUCACAACGCUACCAUCUAGAAAGAGGAGACAGUACAGGUGCAUCAAAGCUGGGUCCAAGAGACUGAUAAACAGCUUCUAUCUCCAGGCCAUCAGACUGUUAAAUAGUCACCACUAACCGACCUCCGCCCAGUACCCUGCCCUGAACUUAGUCACUGUUACUAUCCGGCUACCACCCGGUUACUCUACCCUGCACCUUAGAGACUGCCGCCCUAUGUACAUAGUCAUUGAACACUGGUCACUUUAGUAAUGUUUACAUCCUGUAUAUACUGUACUCUAGUCAAGGCUCAUCCAUAUAUAACUACUGCUGUACACACCUUUUCUAUCAUAUACAUAUACAUAUACACUGAGUGUACAAAACAUUAGGAACACUUGCUCUUUCCAUGACAUAGACUGACCAGGUGAAUCCAGAUGAAAGCUAUGAUCCCUUAUUAGUGUCACUUGUUAAAUCCACUUCAAUCAGUGUAGAUGAAGGGGAGGAGACAGGUUAAAGAAUGCUUUUUAAGCCUUGAGACAAUUGAGACAUGGAUUGUGUAUUUGUGUCAUUCAGAGGGUGAAUGGGCAAGACAACAUAUUUAAGUGCCUUUGAACAGGGUAGUAGGUGGGUGCCAGGCGCACCGGUUUGAGUAUGUCAAGAACUGCAACGUUGCUGGGUUUUUCCACGUUCAACAGUUUCCCGUGUGUAUCAAGAAUGGUCCACCACCCAAAGGACAUCCAGACAACUUGACACAACUGUGGGAAACAUUGGAGUCAACAUGGGCCGGCAUCCCUGUGGAACGCUUUCAACACCUUGUAGAGUCCAUGCCCCGAUGAAUUGAGGCUGUUCUGAGGGUGAAAGGUGGUGCAACUCAAUAUUAGGAAGGUGUUCCUAAUGUUUUGUACACUCAGUGUAUUUUUAUAUUCCGGACUCUGACAUUGCUCGUUCUGAAAUUUCUUAAUUCCUUGAUUACAUUUUUUGGGAUUAGUGUGUGUAGUUGUGUAUUGUUAGGUAUUACUGCACUGUUGGAGCUAGAAAAAUAAGCUUUUUGCUGCACCUGCAUUAACAUCUGCAAAAUAUGUGUACGCAACCAAUAAAAUGUUAUUUGAUUUGAGAUGGACAUAAAGAAGGCCCUUCCUCUGUCUCAUCCCUCCUUUAUUUGCCUCAGAUCCCAGGCCUGGGGCUGUGGAGUGGUUUAAUUCAGCAGAGAGAGAUUUUUCUCUCAUUCCACCAGCUAUGUCAACAAGGAGGGGGGCACUCAGAACUCUGGGGAUGUCAUUUUAUUGUCUGAGGAUUCUAGAACAGUGUUGAAAAUUCUAUAACAGUGUUGACGAUUCUAGAACACUGAAGAUUCUUGAACUGUGUCCAAUUGUAGAACAGUGUGGAGAAUUCCGUAGAGCAGAAAAGCUCUCAGCUUUUACACAACACUGUAGUAGUUAAUGAUUGAAUGCCAGAUCUCAGCCAGUUCAGCUACAUUCCACAUAUUGUUUUUGGAACAUUGUCCAGAAACACUAAGAGCGUGAAACAUUUUUGUUCUUCUUUUGUGUUUGAGAAAGAUAGAAAAGUGCAUGAUAGAACAAUAGUGGACGAUAUCAAGAAGAGAAUGUUGAAACCUCACUUCCAGGCAGUACAUAGUAACCUCUAGCUACCACAACAAUACAAACAUACCCCCAGCCCUAAGAAGAAAGGAAGUUGGACACCCGUUAUGACACCUCUGCAAUCUGUCCCUCCAAGUCCCUCGGCAGGUUAGUAGGUGGUGUUGUAUGUCUGUGUCCCUCGGCAGGUUAGUAGGUGGUGUUGUAUGUCUGUGUCCCUCGGCAGGUUAGUAGGUGGUGUUGUAUGUCUGUGUCCCUCGGCAGGUUAGUAGGUGGUGGUGUAUGUCUGUGUCCCUCGGCAGGUUAGUAGGUGGUGUUGUAUGUCUGUGUCCCUCGGCAGGUUAGUAGGUGGUGUUGUAUGUCUGUGUCCCUCGGCAGGUUAGUAGGUGGUGUUGUAUGUCUGUGUCCCUCGGCAGGUUAGUAGGGGGUGUUGUAUGUCUGUGUCCCUCGGCAGGUUAGUAGGUGGUGUUGUAUGUCUGUGUCCCUCGGCAGGUUAGUAGGUGGUGUUGUAUGUCUGUGUCCCUCGGCAGGUUAGUAGGUGGUGUUGUAUGUCUGUGUCCCUCGGCAGGUUAGUAGGUGGUGUUGUAUGUCUGUGUCCCUCGGCAGGUUAGUAGGUGGUGUUGUAUGUCUGUGUCCCUCGGCAGGUUAGUAGGUGGUGGUGUAUGUCUGUGUCCCUCGGCAGGUUAGUAGGUGGUGUUGUAUGUCUGUGUCCCUCGGCAGGUUAGUAGGUGGUGUUGUAUGUCUGUGUCCCUCGGCAGGUUAGUAGGUGGUGUUGUAUGUCUGUGUCCCUCGGCAGGUUAGUAGGUGGUGUUGUAUGUCUGUGUCCCUCGGCAGGUUAGUAGGUGGUGUUGUAUGUCUGUGUCCCUCGGCAGGUUAGUAGGUGGUGUUGUAUGUCUGUGUCCCUCGGCAGGUUAGUAGGUGGUGUUGUAUGUCUGUG